GAUGAACGCUGGCGGCGUGCCUAAUACAUGCAAGUCGAGCGAACGGACGAGAAGCUUGCUUCUCUGAUGUUAGCGGCGGACGGGUGAGUAACACGUGGAUAACCUACCUAUAAGACUGGGAUAACUUCGGGAAACCGGAGCUAACACCGGAUGAUAUUUUGAACCGCAUGGUUCAAAAGUGAAAGACGGUCUUGCUGUCACUUAUAGAUGGAUCCGCGCUGCAUUAGCUAGUUGGUAAGGUAACGGCUUACCAAGGCAACGAUGCAUAGCCGACCUGAGAGGGUGAUCGGCCACACUGGAACUGAGACACGGUCCAGACUCCUACGGGAGGCAGCAGUAGGGAAUCUUCCGCAAUGGGCGAAAGCCUGACGGAGCAACGCCGCGUGAGUGAUGAAGGUCUUCGGAUCGUAAAACUCUGUUAUUAGGGAAGAACAUAUGUGUAAGUAACUGUGCACAUCUUGACGGUACCUAAUCAGAAAGCCACGGCUAACUACGUGC
This 498-nucleotide ribosomal RNA is filed under the name uncultured bacterium. Its description in RNAcentral is "partial 16S ribosomal RNA". It matches the Rfam family "Bacterial small subunit ribosomal RNA", at positions 28 to 508 of the family's 1533-position model. The record is from RNAcentral.